RNAcentral lists this ribosomal RNA (434 nucleotides) under uncultured Clostridium sp. RNAcentral's name for it is "partial 16S ribosomal RNA". It matches the Rfam family "Bacterial small subunit ribosomal RNA", at positions 341 to 792 of the family's 1533-position model. The record is from RNAcentral. Lineage: Bacteria; Bacillati; Bacillota; Clostridia; Eubacteriales; Clostridiaceae.
ACGGGAGGCAGCAGUGGGGAAUAUUGGACAAUGGGGGAAACCCUGAUCCAGCGACGCCGCGUGAGUGAAGAAGUAUUUCGGUAUGUAAAGCUCUAUCAGCAAGAAAGAAAAUGACGGUACUUGACUAAGAAGCCCCGGCUAACUACGUGCCAGCAGCCGCGGUAGUACGUAGGGGGCAAGCGUUAUCCGGAUUUACUGGGUGUAAAGGGAGCGUAGACGGCGAUGCAAGUCUGAAGUGAAAGCCCGGGGCUCAACCCCGGAACUGCUUUGGAAACUGUAUAGCUAGAGUGCAGGAGAGGUAUGUGGAAUUCCUAGUGUAGCGGUGAAAUGCGUAGAUAUUAGGAGGAACACCAGUGGCGAAGGCGACAUACUGGACUGUAACUGACGUUGAGGCUCGAAGGCGUGGGGAGCAAACAGGAUUAGAUACCCUGGUA